GCUCGUAGUCGGAUUUUGGGCGCGUGUGAACUGUCAGCCUCUGGUUGGACGGUGCGCGCGUGCCUUUCUGCUUGGGAGCCCCAUGGUGGUUAAUUCUGUCGUGGUGGGUCACAGGCCGUUUACUUUGAAAAAAUUANAGUGUUCAAAGCAGGCUGUUGCUUGAAUAGAUUAGCAUGGAAUAAUGGAAUAGGACCUUGGUGCUAUUUCGUUGGUUAUGGGACUGGGGUAAUGAUUAAUAGGGACAGUUGGGGCCGUUCAUAUUUCGUUGUCAGAGGUGAAAUUCUUGGAUUUACGAACGAUGAACUUGUGCGAAAGCAUUCGGCAAGGAUGUUUUCAUUGAUCAAGAACGAAAGUUAGGGGAUCGAAGACGAUCAGAUACCGUCGUAGUCUUAACCAUAAACUAUGCCAACUAGGGAUCAUUGAGUGUCAAUUUACGACCUCAUUGGCACCUUGUGAGAAAUCAAAGUUUUUGGGUUCCGGGGGGAGUAUGGUCGCAAGGCUGAAACUUAAAGGAAUUGACGGAAGGGCACCACCAGGAGUGGAGCCUGCGGCUUAAUUUGACUCAACACGGGGAAACUUACCAGGUCCNGACAUAGUCAGGAUGGACAGAUUGAAAGCUCUCUCUUGAUUCUAUGGGUGGUGGUGCAUGGCCGUUCUUAGUUGGNGGAGUGAUUUGUCUGGUUAAUUCCGUUAACGAAC
RNAcentral lists this ribosomal RNA (699 nucleotides) under uncultured Cryptophyta. RNAcentral describes it as "SSU rRNA". It matches the Rfam family "Eukaryotic small subunit ribosomal RNA", at positions 626 to 1336 of the family's 1831-position model. The record is from RNAcentral. Lineage: Eukaryota; Cryptophyceae.